RNAcentral lists this ribosomal RNA (432 nucleotides) under uncultured bacterium. RNAcentral describes it as "partial 16S ribosomal RNA". It matches the Rfam family "Bacterial small subunit ribosomal RNA", at positions 29 to 507 of the family's 1533-position model. The record is from RNAcentral.
ACGAACGCUGGCGGCAUGCCUCACACAUGCAAGUCGAACGAGACCUUCGGGUCUAGUGGCGCCCGGGUGCGUAAUGCGUUGGAACCUGCCCUUAGGUUCGGAAUAACUCCCCGAAAGGGGUGCUAAUACCGGAUAAUGUCUUCGGACCAAAGAUUUUUCGCCUUUGGAUGGGCCCGCGUUGGAUUAGCUUGUUGGUAGGGUAAAAGCCUACCAAGGCGACGAUCCAUAGCUGGUCUGAGAGGAUGAUCAGCCACACUGGGACUGAGACACGGCCCAGACUCCUACGGGAGGCAGCAGUGGGGAAUAUUGGACAAUGGGCGAAAGCCUGAUCCAGCAAUGCCGCGUGAGUGAUGAAGGACUUAGGGUUGUAAAGCUAUUUUACCCGGGAUGAUAAUGACAGUACCGGGAGAAUAAGCUCCGGCUAACUCCGUG